UACCAGGGAUCGAACUCACGACUGCCUGCUUGCAAGGCAGGCGCUUAUGCCGCUGAGCUAAAUCCCCAGCCCCACUGAGCUCUUUUUUAUUUUUCAUUUUACAACAGAGUUUAGUUUGCUAAAUUUAAUUUGCGAAAUUCAGUUUGCAUUGACUGGAACUCGUGACCCUCCUGUCUCAACUCUCAGAGUGGUGGGAUUACACACCUACAUCACCAUACACAGUUUGGUGAGCAUGUGACUGUCAACCUGCCUGCGGAUCAGCCUACGAGCCCACCCAGUCCAUUUCCCUCUUCCUUCUGUGCAAGACGUUUACCAGCUGCGGGCCUCGGAUGCCUCAGUGUAUGCACGGGUCCUAGCGGUGACUACUGUCCCAGACAGCUGUUAGACAGAAAUUAAUAGGCAGAGAUGUAUUAGCCCUCCAGAGAGUCAGUGCGGAGGAAGAGACGUCAAAAUUGAGACUGGAGGCAAAUCCAGAAAGGGCCAGGCCAGGCCCGCAGGCGUCCCUAGAGACUAACAGCAGUUAGAGACUGAACUGUGAUUACCACCACCUGGUCGAGGGGCCCCAGCUUAGCAUCAGAUAGAUGCUCAGUCUAACGUGCAGGCAUUCACCAAUGAUGAAGUUGUCCUGGGUGAAACACCUGGCAUCAGCUUCUGCGUGAGCAUCAACCAUCAUCCCAUCAACUCUCCUAAACCCCAAUAUGAUGCCCCCUUUCAGCAGGAAAUAGUAAGAGAGUGGAAAAACUUCACCCUUUUCCUAAUAAUACAAAGAAGAGAAUGAAAGGAUUUUGCCCUAGAUAGGAUAUUAUAGCAGUGAGACAUGGGACCAAGGGACAUUUACCUUGAGGUUCACUUUCCCUUCCCCUAUGCAACUUACCUGUGGUGCGAAAAGAGUCCCAGUCAGCUAAUCGUGCAUCAGUGAUGCCACCUUUAAACACCACCCCAGUCGGAAACUAUAUGUAUGCCCCCCACACCACGUUUCCUGCAGAGAAAGCCAGGCCCCUAGUGGUCAUGGGGUUUCUGUCCACAUUGUUAGAAUAAAGGCCAAUUUUACUUUA
Cavia porcellus (domestic guinea pig) is the source of this 1055-nucleotide long non-coding RNA. RefSeq lists it as uncharacterized. The record is from RefSeq and is a predicted model, not a curated record. The transcript is spliced from 2 exons. Lineage: Eukaryota; Metazoa; Chordata; Mammalia; Rodentia; Caviidae.